CCUACGGGAGGCAGCAGUGAGGAAUAUUGGUCAAUGGGCGCAAGCCUGAACCAGCCAUGCCGCGUGAAGGAUGACGGCCCUAUGGGUUGUAAACUUCUUUUGUACGGGAAAAAACCACCGGUCGUGUAUCGGUGCUGAUGGUACCGUAAGAAUAAGCAUCGGCUAACUCCGUGCCAGCAGCCGCGGUAAUACGGAGGAUGCAAGCGUUAUCCGGAUUCAUUGGGUUUAAAGGGUGCGCAGGCGGAGUGAUAAGUCAGUGGUGAAAUCCUGCCGCUUAACGGUAGAAUUGCCAUUGAUACUGAAAAGCUUGAGUACAUUUGAGGUAAGCGGAAUGUGUAGUGUAGCGGUGAAAUGCUUAGAUAUUACACAGAACACCAAUUGCGAAGGCAGCUUACUAAACUGAUACUGACGCUGAUGCACGAAAGCGUGGGGAUCAAACAGGAUUAGAUACCCUGGUAGUCCACGCCGUAAACGAUGAUAACUCGCUGUUGGCGAUACACAGUCAGCGGCUUAGCGAAAGCGUUAAGUUAUCCACCUGGGGAGUACGCUCGCAAGAGUGAAACUCAAAGGAAUUGACGG
Molecule: ribosomal RNA, 579 nt
Filed under: uncultured bacterium
Lineage: Bacteria
Description: bacterial SSU rRNA
Rfam family: Bacterial small subunit ribosomal RNA
Source: RNAcentral